UAACAGGGCUAAGUUGGUUGCUGGGACAUUUGAGGGUUAUUUGGAGCACAUAGAUGGGAAACCAAGCGAUGCUUGCUUAAAUCAUUCGAAAGGCCUUACCAUGGAUGAUAAAGGGAAUGUUUAUGUUGCAGAUACUUCUAAUCUUGCUAUCGGGAAGAUUGGAGAAGCAGGUGUGACAACUAUUGCAGGAGGCAAAUCAAAUAUUGCAGGGUACAGAGAUGGGAUGCAAAGUUCUCUAAUGAUUCUGAUGUGGUGUAUAUUCGGCCUACUUGUUCCUUGUUAGUUGUUGAUAGAGAAAAUGCUGCUCUUCUGCAAAUUUCUCUUAACCAAGAGGACUGUGAUUAUUAGUAUAACUCAAUUUCUGCCUCAGGUUUGGAAACCUAAUUGUUGGCAUUUUGAAUUUGUAGACUCAAUUGGUGGCUUCGUCUUGUAUCACCGGUUUUAAUUCCCUUGGUCCUAAUGUGGGAUUCCAUUUUAGAGACGGUGGCUUUGAAUCUUGGACUAAUGAAAUCGCUUUGAGUAGCUAUGCGGUUGUCAUGUAUUUGUUUGAUUCUCAGUUUGAUGAUUUGAUUUUAUGAUAAAAUUUGAUUCUAUU
Molecule: non-coding RNA, 595 nt
Organism: Nelumbo nucifera (sacred lotus)
Lineage: Eukaryota; Viridiplantae; Streptophyta; Magnoliopsida; Proteales; Nelumbonaceae
Source: RefSeq, a predicted model, not a curated record